UAUUGGUCAAUGGGCUUACGCCUGAACCAGCCAAGUCGCGUGAGGGAAGACUGCCCUAUGUUUUGUAAACCUCUUUUGUCAGGGAGCAACGCCGGCUACGUGUAGCCGGACUGAGAGUACCUGAAGAAAAAGCAUCGGCUACCUCCGUGCCAGCAGCCGCGGUAAUACGGAGGAUGCGAGCGUUAUCCGGAUUUAUUGGGUUUAAAGGGUGCGCAGGCGGAGGCACAAGUCAGCGGUAAAAUCGCGGGGCUCAACCCCGCUCCGCCGUUGAAACUGUGUCCCUUGAGUGCGCGAAGGGUAGGCGGGAUGCGUGGUGUAGCGGUGAAAUGCAUAGAUAUCACGCAGAACUCCGAUCGCGAAGGCAGCCUACCGGCGCGCAACUGACGCUCAUGCACGAAAGCGUGGGUAUCG
This 411-nucleotide ribosomal RNA is filed under the name uncultured bacterium. RNAcentral describes it as "bacterial SSU rRNA". It matches the Rfam family "Bacterial small subunit ribosomal RNA", at positions 362 to 770 of the family's 1533-position model. The record is from RNAcentral.